GUACUCAGCUCAGUAGCAUUUACACUAAAAUUGGAAUGACACAGAGAUUAGCAUGGCCCCUGCACUAGGAUGACAUGCCAAUUCAUGAACAAUUACAUAUUUUU
This is a small nuclear RNA of Camelus dromedarius (Arabian camel), 104 nucleotides long. The record is from Ensembl. Lineage: Eukaryota; Metazoa; Chordata; Mammalia; Artiodactyla; Camelidae.